CACGUAGGGCGCAAGCGUUGUUCGGAAUUACUGGGCGUAAAGGGCGCGUAGGCGGCCUUCUAAGUCGGACGUGAAAUCCCUCGGCUUAACCGAGGAACUGCGUCUGAUACUGAAAGGCUUGAAUCCGGGAGAGGGAUGUGGAAUUCCAGGUGUAGCGGUGAAAUGCGUAGAUAUCUGGAGGAACACCGGUGGCGAAGGCGGCAUCCUGGACCGGUAUUGACGCUGAGGCAUGAAAGCGUGGGGAGCAAACAGG
Molecule: ribosomal RNA, 253 nt
Filed under: uncultured bacterium
Lineage: Bacteria
Description: partial 16S ribosomal RNA
Rfam family: Bacterial small subunit ribosomal RNA
Source: RNAcentral